UGCAUGUCUCUGCUGGUCACACAGUCUCCGUCUCUCUGCAGCUCCUCCGUUGUGUUGUCUGUAUCUGCUUAAUUAUUAUGGGCAUCACGAUCGGCUCCUCAUGGGCCAGUCAGGGAGUUCGUGGGAAGGUAUUAAUCGGUUACUUGGCAACAGCACAUAUGAGGCAGCAUUUCCUCCACAUGAGGGAAGUUAUAAAAGCAGACAUCCAAUUAAAACCCAUGGAGCUCAAAACCACAGACACCUUCUGUACGAAAGAUGGGCGCGCUGGGGGAUCUGGUACAAAUACCAGCCUCUAGACCUC
This is a long non-coding RNA of Sinocyclocheilus rhinocerous, 301 nucleotides long. RefSeq lists it as uncharacterized. The record is from RefSeq and is a predicted model, not a curated record. Lineage: Eukaryota; Metazoa; Chordata; Actinopteri; Cypriniformes; Cyprinidae. The transcript is spliced from 3 exons.